This 301-nucleotide ribosomal RNA is filed under the name uncultured bacterium. Its description in RNAcentral is "partial 16S ribosomal RNA". It matches the Rfam family "Bacterial small subunit ribosomal RNA", at positions 509 to 807 of the family's 1533-position model. The record is from RNAcentral.
CAGUCGCCGCGGUAAUACGUAGGUGGCAAGCGUUGUCCGGAUUUAUUGGGCGUAAAGCGAGCGCGGGCGGUUUCUUAAGUCUGAUGUGAAAGCCCCCGGCUCAACCGGGGAGGGUCAUUGGAAACUGGGAGACUUGAGUGCAGAAGAGGAGAGUGGAAUUCCAUGUGUAGCGGUGAAAUGCGUAGAUAUAUGGAGGAACACCAGUGGCGAAGGCGGCUCUCUGGUCUGUAACUGACGCUGAGGCUCGAAAGCGUGGGGAGCGAACAGGAUUAGAUACCCCUGUAGUCCCUGUCUCUUAUAC